AGCGAACGCUGGCGGCAGGCUUAACACAUGCAAGUCGAGCGGGCACCUUUCGGGGUGUCAGCGGCGGACGGGUGAGUAACGCGUGGGAACGUGCCCUCUGGUUCGGAAUAACUCAGGGAAACUUGAGCUAAUACCGGAUACGCCCUUUUGGGGAAAGGCUUGCUGCCGGAGGAUCGGCCCGCGUCUGAUUAGCUAGUUGGUGAGGUAACGGCUCACCAAGGCGACGAUCAGUAGCUGGUCUGAGAGAAUGAUCAGCCACACUGGGGCUGAGACACGGCCCAGACUCCUACGGGAGGCAGCAGUGGGGAAUAUUGGACAAUGGGCGCAGGCCUGAUCGAGCCAGGCCGCGUGAGUGAUGAAGGCCUUAGGGUUGUAAAGCUCUUUUAUCCGGUACGAUAAUGACGGUACCGGAGGAAUAAGCCCCGGCUAACUUCGUG
RNAcentral lists this ribosomal RNA (437 nucleotides) under uncultured bacterium. RNAcentral's name for it is "partial 16S ribosomal RNA". It matches the Rfam family "Bacterial small subunit ribosomal RNA", at positions 29 to 507 of the family's 1533-position model. The record is from RNAcentral.